CAAUAAAGAAAGAGAAAGGUUAUGAAAAAUAAAGAAGUAACAAUAUCAAGAAAAGAAAAAAAAAAAAAAAGAAAGAAAAAGGGGGAAAUUUUAAAAGUUUUUUUUAAAAAAAAAAAAAAAAAAAACAAUUUUUAUUACCUCUCCUGGGAUGAGAGAGAGUGAAGUUCCACCAAUAGAUGAGACCACCAGGCAGAGCGGACAAAGGUUUGGCGAAAUGGACAUACACCACCAUCAUCAUCCUGUCGAAGAUGUU
Molecule: unclassified non-coding RNA, 253 nt
Filed under: Hevea brasiliensis (rubber tree)
Lineage: Eukaryota; Viridiplantae; Streptophyta; Magnoliopsida; Malpighiales; Euphorbiaceae
Source: RNAcentral